UACGUAGGGGGCGAGCGUUGUCCGGAGUUACUGGGCGUAAAGGGCAUGCAGGCGGUCCGACGCGUUUUGGGUGACAGCGGGUGGCUUCACUACCCGAGCAUGCGAAAGACGGUUGGACUUGAGGACUCGAGAGGGACACGGAAUUCCGGGUGGAGUGGUGAAAUGCGUAGAGAUCCGGAGGAACACCGAAGGCGAAGGCAGUGUCCUGGCGAGUGACUGACGCUGAGGUGCGAAAGCCAGGGGAGCGAACGGG
This 253-nucleotide ribosomal RNA is filed under the name uncultured bacterium. Its description in RNAcentral is "partial 16S ribosomal RNA". It matches the Rfam family "Bacterial small subunit ribosomal RNA", at positions 524 to 776 of the family's 1533-position model. The record is from RNAcentral.